This 450-nucleotide ribosomal RNA is filed under the name uncultured bacterium. RNAcentral's name for it is "bacterial SSU rRNA". It matches the Rfam family "Bacterial small subunit ribosomal RNA", at positions 335 to 799 of the family's 1533-position model. The record is from RNAcentral.
ACUCCUACGGGAGGCAGCAGUGGGGAAUCUUGGACAAUGGGCGCAAGCCUGAUCCAGCCAUGCCGCGUGAGUGAUGAAGGCCCGUAGGGUCGUAAAGCUCUUUCGCCAGAGAUGAUAAUGACAGUAUCUAGGUAAACGAAACCCCGGCUAACUCCGUGCCAGCAGCCGCGGUAAUACGGAGGGGUUAGCGUUGUUCGGAAUUACUGGGCGUAAAGCGUACGUAGGCGGAUUAGUUAGUCAGAGGUGAAAUCCCAGGGCUCAACCCUGGAACUGCCUUUGAUACUGCUAGUCUUGAGUUCGAGAGAGGUGAGUGGAAUUCCGAGUGUAGAGGUGAAAUUCGUAGAUAUUCGGAGGAACACCAGUGGCGAAGGCGGCUCACUGGCUCGAUACUGACGCUGAGGUACGAAAGUGUGGGGAGCAAACAGGAUUAGAUACCCUGGUAGGAUAGCG